This 255-nucleotide ribosomal RNA is filed under the name uncultured bacterium. RNAcentral's name for it is "partial 16S ribosomal RNA". It matches the Rfam family "Bacterial small subunit ribosomal RNA", at positions 524 to 776 of the family's 1533-position model. The record is from RNAcentral.
UACGUAGGCAGCGAGCGUUGUUCGGAAUUACUGGGCGUAAAGAGUGUGUAGGCGGUGCUCCCAGUCUGUUGUGAAAUCUCCCGGCUCAACUGGGAGGGUGCGCCGAAUACUGAAUGACUUCGAGUGCGGGAGAGGAGAGUGGAAUUCCUGGUGUAGCGGUGAAAUGCGUAGAUAUCAGGAGGAACACCGGUGGUGUAGACGGCUCUCUGGACCGUAACUGACGCUGAGACACGAAAAGCGUGGGUAGCAAACAGG